This is a long non-coding RNA of Polyodon spathula (Mississippi paddlefish), 1151 nucleotides long. RefSeq lists it as uncharacterized. The record is from RefSeq and is a predicted model, not a curated record. Lineage: Eukaryota; Metazoa; Chordata; Actinopteri; Acipenseriformes; Polyodontidae. The transcript has 3 exons.
UUGUGAGUGUGUUUGUGUGUGAGUCAACGUGUUUGUGCGUGUGUGUCUGGAUAGCUCCGCACUGCCAGUCAGCUUCCUCAGUAAUCCUGUCUCUGUCAGCCAAGAGCUGCACUAUUUAUAACCAUGAUGAAGACACACUGAGACACAAGACAACACUCCACUGCCGUUGGGCACAGUGCAGGAACAUGCCUGCACACACCUGACAAACACAAGUGUCCAGCACAGACUGCUCCUCGUUUCAUUAGCAAUUGCCUUACCCUUCACUCACUUAUUCACACAUUAGUUCAGGUAUUUCUGGUUUUAAAUCACUAUCUAAGCUGUGCUUUACCUUACCUCUGCCUGAACACACAGCAUGCCCUUAUCGUGCAGUAAGGGAGUGGAAUAAAGAACAGAAGCUUAUGAAACGGAUCACUGAAUCGUGGAGUUCUGUUUGUUUUAGUUUUUUUGUGGUUGCCAUAGCGCCCUCACCCUACCCGUCAGCGAGAUCAGCUUUCACCACCAUCACAAGCACAAACAGCAAAGAAACUGAUAAACCCAGGGGAGCGACGCAGUCCACGCAGAACAACAAGCAGGUUACAGUAAACACAGCACAGCUGACUCUCAUCAGCACAUCUGCAGGUGAGCACCAGGUCGAGGCGCAGGAAAUCGAGCAGCGAGGCUCCGGCCGACAGCACGGCGUGUCGCGACAUCCCGGGCAGAACCUUCUGAGUCACGACACGACCUGCCGAGAAUGACAUCAUACACGGGACGCGAGUCAGCGCUGCAACAGUGCAAAAGAGAACUCGCACAAGAGCCGGCAGGACCUUUACGAAAACAGAUACGCAAUGGUGCAGCAUUCACAAAGAGCGAGCGUCUCUCUAACCGAAAGACCGCAGCCCACCAUCGCCCAUUACUGUCCCGGGUUACAACGCCAAGCACCGGCCGGGAAUGACAUUGCCGUGUGGGUGUGUCAGGCUGUGUAAUGCGGGACAGUUCCGCUAGAUGUCACUGCGGCCUCUGUUUUGUCGGAUGGCGCUAUACUUUACCCCACGUGUUUCUGAGGAUGGACUGCGUGAUAUUUAUGAAUGAACGGUUUUGUUAAUUGUUUCAUUUUAAUCGAUCGAAUACACCAGUUAAUUCAUGAUUAUUGAACUGGAUCUGCAGUCAAACUU